This 442-nucleotide long non-coding RNA is filed under the name Brassica napus (rape). Its description in RNAcentral is "long non-coding RNA (BNAP_LNC004787)". The record is from RNAcentral. Lineage: Eukaryota; Viridiplantae; Streptophyta; Magnoliopsida; Brassicales; Brassicaceae.
UGUGGGACUCCAGCAAUGAUGCCUGUCUCAGAACGCGUCCAUCUGAGGUAGUAAUAAUCCAAACACAGCCUGCUCUUUUGUUGGUUUUGUUCCAUGAAGCAUCAGUGAAACAAUCCAGGCAGUCAUUAUGGUUGGUGAAGGUCCUGAAGGAUAUACAUCGUAGCUGAUAACCUGAGCGUUCGGUUGUCUAGUAACUUGCGCUUGUUGCCAUUCACGUGCCGAUCUGAUUGCGAGAUUAAGCGUGUCUUCUGUAGACUAUCAUAUCUGAACCAUCUCUACAAUCUGUUGAAAUGUGUAUUACUUUGCCAAAAUUAAUAACAUUAUUCAAUCCAAAAAUAUAUUAUAUAUGAAAAAAAAAUUCAAUACAGAACAUUAAGGCAUUUAACAAAAUCAGUAUGAGAUAUUACCAAGAAAAAUCAACAGAUUAUAUUUCGGGAAAUAU